Molecule: long non-coding RNA, 2027 nt
Filed under: Chrysemys picta bellii (western painted turtle)
Lineage: Eukaryota; Metazoa; Chordata; Testudines; Emydidae
Description: lncRNA (ENSCPBG00000018695.1)
Source: RNAcentral
GAAACUUGGCCGUGCGGGGCCGGAGGGGUGGCGUGGGAAAAGCAACGCCUACUCGCUUUUGCUCUGACAUUGUCACAAGGAAGUGGCCACCUCCGGUCUGCUUUUCCUGCCUGCUCAAUUUUUGCUCUAUCGGUGGGUCUCUCUACCAGGGGGAAUCGCCAGCAGCCCUGGGGAAGGAAAGAUGUGGAGGAAACUUGCUUUUCAGGAGGUAAGACGCCCACGCUUGCUGUUUGACACUGGAGGACUUAGUGGGGGGAGGAUGUCACCCUUUAUUUGGGCUGAAAUAGGUUUCAAAUGCAUAACAAGGCACUCAAAGUGCACAGGCGGGUUUAAAACACCGAGCCCCAGAAGAAUGAUAUACAGCCUGCGUAGGAACGACAGUUUGUGGCUUUCCUGCUAGGCGCCUAGUAGAAAACAAGUGAUCUCUCGGACAGUCGCUGUUAGACACGCCGAGGCGCUGAGACGCCAUAACUCUCGCAGGGCGGGUCUAAAACUAUGCAGCGGCCAUAUUCAGUCUCCCCUGCAGAAUCACAGAAAAACGAGACCUCUUGUGUUUCAUGGGGUCCCUGCUUCCAGGGGACGACUGAGAUGCUUAAAACAAAGCACCCGCUAAUGUGCUUUGCGUGAGGCAGAGAGGCGCACAGUGACUGACACAGAGCGCUGGAGGAAUGGGGGAUAAAAACUAUUUCUUCAAAAUAACACAGCGACGAAGAUUGCCCUCUCUUAAACGUGUUUGAGGGCGUUCCUUGGCAUAGGACGUACAAAUGCGGACACGUGUAACGGAUCGAUUUCUCGCCAUCCCACUCGCGGUGCCGUCUGGAUUGUUUGGAAGGCUUUUUUUUUCACUGGGGGGCCCUGCAGGAAUUUUGCGGAAUGUCCAGCGUCCGGAUUGAUACGCUUUGCGCAGGAGGAGGCAGGGUCAAGGGGCGGGCCUGCUUAGGGGGUGCCCGAAUGACCAUGUGGGCGCGAGACUCAGAAUUCAUCAUGGCGGGAUACAGUGCCACGAGGGGUAAAAACCAAACCCAUCUCUUUGCCUUUGCAAGCAUCGCCUUUAAAGUCGUCGUCUUACUCGGGUGCGCUGGGCAAGCCGUACCGGACACCCGCCCCAGCCAAUGUCAACAGGACAUCCCUCUGUCUGUGCCCGAGGGUGGUGGCGCGCAACAGCCCCUUAACCUCACGGAGCGCUUUGCCCAGCUCUCCUGGUACGAUGCCUUGGCUGGGACAUGGGUGCCGAUAGCCGUCAUCCGUCCAGGGAAAUCAAACCCACUCAACAGCUCCUUCGCCAGGCACAUAUCCAUGUCCAACAGAUGGCUCACCGUGACGAACGCCAGCAAAGCCAUUGCAGGGGUGUAUAAGAUCGAAUCUGAGAUGAACAAAAACAAGUGUCUGGUUUUCAUCCGUCUGAUUGUAACAGAGCCUGCACCAACCUCAGCUCCGGUAUCCCAGGUGGCCCUGGUCAGCAGCGGGACGGCAGCUGCGGAGCCUGGAUCUUGGUCCAGCCGUAUUGCCGUGGUGGUGGUGCCGGUGGUGGGGUCAGUGAUGGUGGCGGCGCUGUUGAUAUGGCAGAUAAAGAAUAUUGCUCGCUACGUGCGCUCGUUCGGCAGCCGUCAUGAUUUCCCUGCCAGAGCCGCCCCGUCCCAGCAGGCCAGCGACUCAGGCCCCAUGCAGGAGCUGGCAGAGCUGACGCAGCUGGAGGACGCCAGAGGUGGGGACCGGUCAGCUCUGCUGAAUGGGAAACUUCUCGGCAGCGCUGAAAUGCUAAACGUGGGGGACUGGAGAGUGGGGAGGGAUGAACCCUGUCCCUCAACAUCCACUCAAUGUGCAGUGGCAGUCAAGACUGGUACUUUUUAGCUUGGAAAAGAGAUGACUAACGGGGGAUACAAUGGAGGUCUAUAAAAUCAUGACUGGGUUGGAGAAAGUAAAUAAGGAAGUGUUGUUUAUUCCUUCUCAUAACACAAGAACUAGGGGUCACCAAAUGAAAUGAAUAGGCAGCAGUUUUAAAACAAAUAAAAGGAAGUAUUUCUUCA